UUUUCUCUUGUGGUGAAGCCUGUGUUCCCCAGUAAGCUGCUUUCUCUUCAUGUUUUCUACCAUCUCUGUGAAAUGGGUUUAAAGCCUCUAUGAGCUAGCUACGUUGGCAGUGCCUUCUCAGUACAGUAAAACCCUCAUGGUGCGACUUCACUGUGAAGCAGUUUGGCAGUGACUCAAGUUCAGAAGCUGGCAGACUAUUGAGAGAGUCAGAAGAACACUUUUCAUCAGAGCAUAAAGAUAAUUACAUCAUAAAAGAAAAAGGAACUCCAAAUACAAACGCUUCUGCUUGAAUGUUUCUUGUCACCAGCAUCUUCCUUGAAGAGCCUGUCAUUUCAUUUAUUCAGUUUCCAAAUGGAUGUGUCUGUCUCUCCCCAGGCAGCAGAGAGAAUUUGGAGUGAAAUUCACUUUUACAUGAAGAUGUACCCAUUACUUAUGAUAACUAUUCAGGACCAAGUGCAAGAAAUGCAGUAUCUCAGAGCUGAGAGCAAGGAUACAGUAGAGAAUUAUACUGUCCAGUAAACACUUCUCAAAAGCCUACAGGAAAUACUAAACACAUAGUUAAUGUACAUAAUAGUAUAUGUAUGUACACUUUGCUCAGCUGAGUUUUGAAAAUCUACAGAGAUGGACAUUGUUAGUCUCUAUGGGCAACUUGUUUCAUUCCUUAACCAAAACUUUUUUCUUAUGUUGACCUGGAGUUUUCCUUGCUGAAAAAUUCUCUCAUUCUUCCUCUUUCUACCACCAAAAAGACUAGCACUCUUCCAGCAGUAGGUUACUACAGCUGGAUCCCUUUUAAGCUUCUUUGAGGUGAAAUCACUAUUAUGUAAAGAUUUAGUUCUAUACUUAUUUUGUCUAUUUAAUUCCUCAUUUCUAUGAAUUUAUAAAAUGUUGCUUAACUAGCUUCACAAAUCAUGAAUAAAGAAAUAGGAUUUCUGUC
This is a long non-coding RNA of Anas platyrhynchos (mallard), 934 nucleotides long. RefSeq lists it as uncharacterized. The record is from RefSeq and is a predicted model, not a curated record. NCBI's taxonomy places the organism in Eukaryota, Metazoa, Chordata, Aves, Anseriformes, Anatidae.